This 1103-nucleotide long non-coding RNA is filed under the name Bemisia tabaci. RNAcentral's name for it is "lncRNA ENSSSA3NGG010717". The record is from RNAcentral. Lineage: Eukaryota; Metazoa; Arthropoda; Insecta; Hemiptera; Aleyrodidae.
CCGCCAUUUCGGUGCUUGUGAUUACUCUUUUAUUAUCGUUGUAAAAUCAGCCAUAAAAUGAAGUUAAUUUCAAGAUGAGUUUAUAACGAUCUGCUGCACGUUUAUUAACUUGCUACCUCUUUUGGUGAGGCACCCGCGGAAACCGUUAACUAGUCGUCAGUCAUUUUCUUUCGCGGCUCCAAUCCAGUAGUCCAAACAUCCAGCAAAAUGCAGUCCUCUUCAAGUCGCGUUGUGUCUUCUUCUUGUUGUAACUCUGGUUAGUAGCAAGUCCACUCGUGGAGUUUUUAUUCAGUUUGAGUAUCUCAAGAAUGGCACAGAUUGUCGGUGGUCCACUUCACCAAAAUUCUAAGUUUUUGAGGUUUUUGCCCAAACGGCGCCCGCAGCUCUUGACGGAGGUAAUACAGAAGGAAUAGAAAAGGUGGAGUAAGUAUUAAGGUCUGCGCCAAAUGUAUCGAUGAAUGUCAGGCCGUUGGUAACCCAUUGGAAUACUGUGAAAUCCAGCGGUGUGCAAGUUUUUGCCGAGCAACAUAAAAUUAUGGUGAGUUAAAAUUCAAUUCAGUCCUAAAGUAAAAUCGUGCACAGUUUUACCACGCAGAAGAAACGUAUCUAAAGGAUUGCGUAAUUAUAUUCUCCUAUUUAAUCUCGCAAGAAAUACUCGAUUAUCAAAGAUGAUGUUUAUCUAUUACUUAAAUUUUAAAUCAAUGUUCAUGCUAAAAAAAUAUCUUAUAACUUAGAUAGUAAUAAGGAACAUGCAGAGGCUAAGUGAUUAGCAUACAAAUAGCGUUGAUAAAAUAGAAAAACUAAAAUUAUGGAGCAUCAGGAAUGACGGGUAGUUCAUAAAAAGUAAAGACCCUAUAAGCCAGUAUAAGCAAUGUGUGGUGGAUGUAACGUUAAUAUUUUUUCGAAUGUUAAGCUUUUGGAGCAAGUAGGAUUUUUUUGGUCUACUUAAAGGGAAAUGAAAGGCAAAAACUCAGAGGGUGAAACCAGUCGAUUUGAAGUAUGGAUAACAUCAUGAACCUAUUAAUCGAUUGCUUGGUUUUAUCAAUGUCACGGCAUUUAUCGCAUCUUGUGUUGUCUCGUGUUUCAUUUUGAUGGCAGUUUGU